UGUUAUUCUUAAUAGGAUAACUUUUCAUUAGUGUAAAAAGCUUUUAGAAUAAGAGCUGGGCAAGACCGGUGCCAGCCGCCGCGGUAACACCGGCAGCUCAAGUGGUAGCUGUUUUUAUUGGGCCUAAAGCGUUCGUAGCCGGUUUGAUAAGUCUUUGGUGAAAGCUUAUGGCUUAACUGUAAGAAUUGCUGAAGAUACUGUCAGACUUGAAGUCGGGAGAGGUUAGAGGUACUACCGGGGUAGGGGUGAAAUCCUAUAAUCCUGGGAGG
Molecule: ribosomal RNA, 269 nt
Filed under: uncultured archaeon
Lineage: Archaea
Description: partial 16S ribosomal RNA
Rfam family: Archaeal small subunit ribosomal RNA
Source: RNAcentral